This 72-nucleotide transfer RNA is filed under the name Deltaproteobacteria bacterium. Its description in RNAcentral is "tRNA-Pro". Lineage: Bacteria; Pseudomonadati; Myxococcota; Myxococcia. The record is from RNAcentral.
CCGGGUAUGGCGCAGAAGCAGCGCGCACCGUUCGGGCCGGUGAGGUCGGUGGUGCAAGUCCACCUGCCCGGA